GGUCAUUGAAGAUGCAUCAUAUAUUAUACUCAUAACCAUGUUACAGGUCAGUUUUUUCUAACUCAAGUGGGUGAGUUUUCUAUGGGAAUCUCAUAAUAGUUGAAAAACACAAUAUCUCGGAUACACCACAGUACACUUUAAUAAAAUAAUUAAAUAAACCAAGUGUCUAAAAAUAAUGAUAAAACAUAAACUUUUGGGGGAUCCUUUGUGGACUUUAUUAAUCAUAUGUGAGGUCCACCAUGAAACUAUUUAGACCUAUCAUGUUACCAUUGGCCUGCUAACCUAUUCACAAGUUCGUGUAUCAUUUCCCACUUAAAUAUAUUGAAAUAAUAAUGUAGUUUUUUAAAUUCACAAGUUCCUGUAUCAUUCCUGACUUUAAUACAUAAAAAUAACAAUAUAGGAUUAAAAUAAUGUGAUUCAGGAGAUUGUAANCCUAGUAUGUAGGAUGUUCCUAUGCUGAAGUGAUCUGUUAAAUUGGUAUCCUGGUAUGUAAGAUGCUGCUAUGCUAUAGUGAUCUGUUAGAUCUGUAUCCUGAUAUAUAUGAUGUUGUUAUGCUGAAGUGAUCUGCUCGUUUGCUAUGCUAAAAGACUAUUAUUUAAAUAGGAAAAAAUUGUGAGCUAGGGGUUGGGGGUGUAUUUAUUUAAGUAAAUAAAAAAAUCAAGGGCAAAAUAGUCUUUUUAGGUAAGACAUGGAUCAAACAUGUAAAAAAACAAACAGUAGGGACCUUUCGAGCUACAAAACAAGUUAGGGACCAAACACGCAAAUUACCCUAAACCAUAGGGACCAUUGGUGUAAUUUACUCUAAAAUUAAUUUUCGGUGAUUUUCGAUUCGAUCUUCAACGAUAGAUGAUUUUAGUAGCUUGAGACAUUCUAAAAGUAAUUAUGAAUAUGAUAUCUUUAAUAUACAUUAUAAACAUAAGAUUACACAUAAUUGGUCCUUAAUACAUAGCGGUUCGUGGUGGUUUGACCAUCGAACACUGACUAAUUUUUACCAAUUGUUACAACAGCUGUCACACAGUGGCAACCCUUGCCCACGUCGUGGCGGUCCAAUAAAAUAUAUGUGCUUUUAUUUAAUCCCACGCUGUGGGCAUCCCUGCACCAUGUCGUGCCACAGGUUUUCCCCCAAAACUCCAUCUUUACCUCCUAAAAAUAUAAAGCUAAACUAGUCUUGAACACGGGUGUUAUAAAGGUCAUGAUUUCUGAUCAAUAUACUUACACAACACUCAUAGAUGGGCUAUCCAAAGCAAAGAGAUUGGAAGAUUCAAAUAUGGUUUUAGAAGAUAUGUAUAUUACUUUUUUUGUGGCAGAUUUUUGUGAUGAUUAGGAAAUUUGUGAGGUAGUGCUGGUUGUGAUCGUGGCAAAAAGAGCAAUACGGUGGUGGUGUAUGGCUACAUGAUGGGGAUUUGGAGACCCUAAAAGCGUUUCAGGUAGCUUCUAUUUAAAUAAUCAAUGAACCAGAUAACUGUCUUAUUUGAAAUAAUAUUAUUUUAUGUUCAAAUCAUGGUUUCUACAUGUCUCCUACUCAACUAUAAAUAGAACCUUAUACUUUGGAAUUUUCAAGUACUCUUUUUUUAGAUACUAGAUCCAAAAAUUGAUCCUCUCUCGCCUCUCUCCUAAUCUUUCUAUGGUUCUUGUGUUGUGGGUGUGAACCAUUAGAGGCUCGCACACAAAUAGAGCUUGUUUUCAAAGAUAAUUCUAGAUUGCUUUGUUGGAAUCAAAGAUUUGUUUACAAUAACAAAUAAAAGGUAUGCAAUUUUGUGAAUUUUGCUUUCCAUUAGGGUUUAGAAGAUUUGAUGUUCAAUAAUAUGUUGCUUAAAUAGUGUUAUGACAUAGAUCAAAGUAGGUUGCACGUACCCUUAAGAAUAUAAUGAUUUUUCCGUAUUAUUACAUGUAAAACCUAUCAAUAUCUUAUAUAAGUUAACAAUGACAAAAAUAUGAUUAAAGUCACCAGAUACAUCCCUCGUUUGACAUGGUCCUCAAACAUAAGAUUUCAUGAAUAUAGCAUAUAAUAUCCUAAAAGGAAACCUAUUAUAACUUUUCAGAUGGUAAAAGUAAUAUGAUUAUUUGUUACAUGUUUUUUAUUCAUUUGGUGAUGAUAUUACUAGCUUAUUAAAAAAAUCUAUUAUCACAAUGUUUUUUCAAUCUUAUUCAUACAACAAGGAACAAUGCCCAAAUUAUUCAUAAAUAAAUUUCAUUAAAGUAUAUUUCUGGUAUACCCGAAAAUACCCAACCCGAAUCAUCAACCCGGAUACCCGAACUAUAAGACCCGAAUUGUAAAUAGUUUAGGUUUCGGUUCAUAUUAUUUUAUGAAAAAACUUGAAUUACCCGAAGCUCGAAAAUUACCCAAUCAACAGACCUAAUUAGCAGUAGUGAUUAGUAGUAGAUAAUAAGCAA
Molecule: long non-coding RNA, 2394 nt
Filed under: Lactuca sativa (garden lettuce)
Lineage: Eukaryota; Viridiplantae; Streptophyta; Magnoliopsida; Asterales; Asteraceae
Description: long non-coding RNA (LSAT_LNC010095)
Source: RNAcentral